RNAcentral lists this ribosomal RNA (454 nucleotides) under Paenibacillus sp. Its description in RNAcentral is "bacterial SSU rRNA". It matches the Rfam family "Bacterial small subunit ribosomal RNA", at positions 21 to 461 of the family's 1533-position model. Lineage: Bacteria; Bacillati; Bacillota; Bacilli; Caryophanales; Paenibacillaceae. The record is from RNAcentral.
GGCUCAGGACGAACGCUGGCGGCGUGCCUAAUACAUGCAAGUCGAGCGGACUUGAAGGAGUGCUUGCACUCCUGAGAGUUAGCGGCGGACGGGUGAGUAACACGUAGGCAACCUGCCCUCAAGACUGGGAUAACUACCGGAAACGGUAGCUAAUACCGGAUAAUUUAUUACAUAGCAUUAUGUGAUAAUGAAAGACGGAGCAAUCUGUCACUUGGGGAUGGGCCUGCGGCGCAUUAGCUAGUUGGUGGGGUAACGGCCCACCAAGGCGACGAUGCGUAGCCGACCUGAGAGGGUGAACGGCCACACUGGGACUGAGACACGGCCCAGACUCCUACGGGAGGCAGCAGUAGGGAAUCUUCCGCAAUGGGCGAAAGCCUGACGGAGCAACGCCGCGUGAGUGAUGAAGGUUUUCGGAUCGUAAAGCUCUGUUGCCAAGGAAGAACGUCUCAUAGAG